CCUACGGGGGGCAGCAGUGGGGAAUAUUGCACAAUGGGGGAAACCCUGAUGCAGCGACGCCGCGUGAGUGAAGAAGUAAUUCGUUAUGUACAGCUCUAUCAGCAGGGAAGAAAAUGACGGUACCUGAGUAAGAAGCCCCGGCUAACUACGUCCCAGCAGCCGCGGUAAUACGUAGGGAGCACGCGUUAUCCGGCUUUACUUGGUGGAAAGGGAGCGUAGACGGCAGUGCAAGUCUGGAGUGAAAGGCGGGGGCUCAACGCCCGUACUGCUCUGGAAACUGUACGGCUGGAGUGCAGGAGAGGUAAGUGGAAUUCCUAGUGUAGCGGUGAAAUGCGUAGAUAUUAGGAGGAACACCAGUGGCGAAGGCGGCUUACUGGACUGUAACUGACGUUGAGGCUCGAAAGCGUGGGGAGCAAACAGGAUUAGAUACCCCUGUAGUC
This 440-nucleotide ribosomal RNA is filed under the name uncultured bacterium. Its description in RNAcentral is "partial 16S ribosomal RNA". It matches the Rfam family "Bacterial small subunit ribosomal RNA", at positions 338 to 795 of the family's 1533-position model. The record is from RNAcentral.